This 406-nucleotide ribosomal RNA is filed under the name Candidatus Cardinium hertigii. RNAcentral describes it as "bacterial SSU rRNA". It matches the Rfam family "Bacterial small subunit ribosomal RNA", at positions 234 to 637 of the family's 1533-position model. Lineage: Bacteria; Pseudomonadati; Bacteroidota; Cytophagia; Cytophagales; Amoebophilaceae. The record is from RNAcentral.
CGUCCUAUUAGCUAGUUGGUGAGGUAAUGGCUCACCAAGGCUACGAUGGGUAGGGGUUCUUAGUGGAAGGUCCCCCACACUGGCACUGAGAUACGGGCCAGACUCCUACGGGAGGCAGCAGUAGGGAAUAUUGGUCAAUGGGCGCAAGCCUGAACCAGCCAUGCCGCGUGCAGGAUGAAGGCUCUCUGAGUUGUAAACUGCUUUUGUACAGGAGCAAAAAAAUCCCUGCGGGGGUUCUUGAGAGUACUGUAAGAAUAAGCACCGGCUAAUUCCGUGCCAGCAGCCGCGGUAAUACGGGAGGUGCAAGCGCUAUCCGGUUUUAUUGGGUUUAAAGGGUGCGUAGGCGGCUUAUUAAGUCAGUUGUGAAAUCCUAGUGCUUAACGCUAGAACUACGAUUGAUACUAUU